AAUCAUCAGCCUCGAGGACAAGGCUGAUUUGAAGAGGACGGGUCUGUUAGGACUCUAGCUUGGAGAGUCCUAAUUGAGAGGAACAUUCAUGUAAAACUGUUAGGACUCUAGCUAAGAGAGUCCUAAUUGAGAGGGACAUUCUGUUAGAACUCUAGCUACGAGAGUCCUAAUUGAGAGGGGCAUUCAUGUAGGAGGUUUUUUUCUUAGAGAAGAAUUAGGAGUUGUAAGGGAAUAGGAGUCUUGAGUAGGAGUCCUAUUAGGAGUUGGUUAGAAGUAAG
Molecule: long non-coding RNA, 278 nt
Filed under: Musa acuminata (dwarf banana)
Lineage: Eukaryota; Viridiplantae; Streptophyta; Magnoliopsida; Zingiberales; Musaceae
Description: long non-coding RNA (MACU_LNC010849)
Source: RNAcentral